GCCGGGAGGGGGAGGCCAGGAAGGGGGUCGGGCGGGAGGGGAGGAGACCUCGGAGCAGCCAAUCGGCGCUCAGCCCAUCAGCUGACCGCUUUUGCUUACACCAGGUGCACGCCGGCUGCGGGGAGCACAAAGCGGGGCGCAUCGAGGGCGCCGGCAGCGAGCCGGGGAGCUAGGCGAGGCCCGUGCGCCAGCGGCCGCAGCGCCCUCCGAUUGGGGAGAGGGGCUGGUGGUGUUAGCCAGGCGGCGGAAUCCGCGCGGUGGCAUCCCUAGUUGCCCCGGGUGCCUUUCUCGGGACCUGGCCGCUCUCUGCCUCGCCCUCUGCGCCCCACUUCUCCAGUCCUCCUUCCCAAUCCUGCCUGCCUCUGCCCCGACCCCGGAGAGUCGGAUUGAGCCCAGGCCCGCGCAGCAGCUGUUGCUCGUGUCGUUGCCUCUCCUCCUGUCUUGGUGCUCUGCUGGGAACCCCCCAAGGAGCCGCUGCGCGCUGCGGGCUGGGAGGGAGGCGCCGUUCGGCCGGUCGUCCUCCUCCUGCCGCCGCCGCGGGUCCGUGCGCACCCCACACCCCCGCCGGCCGGGCCUCGGGGCAGGGCACUUGCAAGAACUGGCUCUGUGACUGUGGAUGACAGAUAGUUUCAGAGCUGGCACAUCUCCAGACUUUGAUUUGGCUGAAGUAACUUAUACCACAGAGCUGUGGGCAUGCCUGGAAUUGAGAGACACAGUUAAAAGACUCCCAAUUGCUUCCUGCCUUUUUGAAAACUACUGAAAACCAUCCCUUCAGACUCCGGAGUUUUACACAUCUCAACCGAGACUUUGCUUGAAUGUUUACAUUUUCUGCUUGCUGUCCUACAUACCACUAUCCAGUGUUCACCUUUUGUUAAAACUUAGGCGUGUCAGGAGUUG
RNAcentral lists this long non-coding RNA (897 nucleotides) under Ursus thibetanus thibetanus. RNAcentral's name for it is "lncRNA (ENSUTTG00000007745.1)". Lineage: Eukaryota; Metazoa; Chordata; Mammalia; Carnivora; Ursidae. The record is from RNAcentral.